Molecule: ribosomal RNA, 885 nt
Filed under: Botryosphaeria dothidea
Lineage: Eukaryota; Fungi; Ascomycota; Dothideomycetes; Botryosphaeriales; Botryosphaeriaceae
Description: partial large subunit ribosomal RNA
Rfam family: Eukaryotic large subunit ribosomal RNA
Source: RNAcentral
ACAUACAAUAAGCGGAGGAAAAGAAACCAACAGGGAUCGCUUAGUAACGGCGAGUGAAGCGGCAACAGCUCAAAUUUGAAAGCUGGCUCCUUUGGAGUCCGCGUUGUAAUUUGUAGAGGAUGAUUCGGCAAGGGCUCCCGCCUAAGUCUCCUGGAACGGAGCGUCAUAGAGGGUGAGAAUCCCGUAUGCGGUGGGCUGCCUAAGCCAUGUGAAUCUCCUUCGACGAGUCGAGUUGUUUGGGAAUGCAGCUCUAAAUGGGAGGUAAAUUUCUUCUAAAGCUAAAUACCGGCCAGAGACCGAUAGCGCACAAGUAGAGUGAUCGAAAGAUGAAAAGCACUUUGGAAAGAGAGUUAAAAAGUACGUGAAAUUGUUGAAAGGGAAGCGCUUGCAGCCAGACUUGUCCGCAGUUGCUCAGCCGGUCUCCUGACCGGUGUACUCUUCUGCGGCCAGGCCAGCAUCAGUUCGGGCGGUCGGAUAAAGACCUCGGGAAUGUAGCUCCUCUCGGGGAGUGUUAUAGCCCGGGGUGGAAUGCGGCCAGCCUGGACUGAGGAUCUCGCUUCGGCUAGGAUGCUGGCGUAAUGGCUGUAAGCGGCCCGUCUUGAAACACGGACCAAGGAGUCUAACAUCUAUGCGAGUGUUUGGGUGUCAAACCCAUGCGCGUAAUGAAAGUGAACGGAGGUGGGAACCCUCACGGGUGCACCAUCGACCGAUCCUGAUGUCUUCGGAUGGAUUUGAGUAAGAGCAUAGCUGUUGGGACCCGAAAGAUGGUGAACUAUGCCUGAAUAGGGUGAAGCCAGAGGAAACUCUGGUGGAGGCUCGCAGCGGUUCUGACGUGCAAAUCGAUCGUCAAAUUUGGGUAUAGGGGCGAAAGACUAAUCGAACCAU